This 796-nucleotide ribosomal RNA is filed under the name uncultured bacterium. RNAcentral describes it as "bacterial SSU rRNA". It matches the Rfam family "Bacterial small subunit ribosomal RNA", at positions 26 to 808 of the family's 1533-position model. The record is from RNAcentral.
AGAUUGAACGCUGGCGGGAGGCCUAACACAUGCAAGUCGAGCGGCAGCGGGAAAGUAGCUUGCUACUUUUGCCGGCGAGCGGCGGACGGGUGAGUAAUGCCUAGGGAUCUGCCCAGUCGAGGGGGAUAACAGUGGGAAACGACUGCUAAUACCGCAUACGCCCUACGGGGGAAAGGAGGGGACCUGCGGGCCUUCCGCGAUUGGAUGAACCUAGGUGGGAUUAGCUAGUUGGUGAGGUAAAGGCUCACCAAGGCGACGAUCCCUAGCUGUUUUGAGAGGAAGAUCACCCACAAUGGGAAUGAGACACGGCCCAGGAUUCUUACGGGAGGCAGCAGAGGGGAAUAUUGCACAAUGGGGGGAACCCUGAUGCAGCCAUGCCGCGUGUGUGAAGAAGGCCUUCGGGUUGUAAAGCACUUUCAGUAGGGAGGAAAGGGUGAGUCUUAAUACGGCUUAUCUGUGACGUUACCUACAGAAGAAGGACCGGCUAACUCCGUGCCAGCAGCCGCGGUAAUACGGAGGGUCCGAGCGUUAAUCGGAAUUACUGGGCGUAAAGCGUGCGCAGGCGGUUUGUUAAGCGAGAUGUGAAAGCCCUGGGCUCAACCUAGGAAUAGCAUUUCGAAUUGACAAACUAGAGUCUUGUAGAGGGGGGUAGAAUUCCAGGUGUAGCGGUGAAAUGCGUAGAGAUCUGGAGGAAUACCGGUGGCGAAGGCGGCCCCCUGGACAAAGACUGACGCUCACGCACGAAAGCGUGGGGAGCAAAAAGGACUAGAUACCCUGGUAGUCCACGCCGUAAACG